Molecule: long non-coding RNA, 542 nt
Filed under: Homo sapiens (human)
Lineage: Eukaryota; Metazoa; Chordata; Mammalia; Primates; Hominidae
Description: HSALNT0260767
Source: RNAcentral
UAAGAAGGAGUGUGUGAUGUCAAGCAAAAAAGACAACAUUAGACACAGAUGCUGAGAUGGCGUUUAUCGCGGCAAAAAAAGGUGAAGUCGCCGCCCCAGCCAGGAGCUUCUGGAGGUGGUGGGCAGGAGGCGGGCGGCGUCUCUGGUCGCAGAGGAUGGAAGGAAUCAGUUAGAGGGGGUUGAAUGGAGGCACUGGAGGCAUGGCCACAUCUCCCAAAUCGACCCGGGAUGUGGGCCAUGCCUCCAGUCUCCCCACGUCCCCUGGCUCAAACCCAGUACAAAAGUGACUAUUUACAAUGAAGGCGUGGGGAGUGUGUGGGGGGACACACAGUUUUCCGUGGGAUGAACACAGAAAGGGUUAAUCAAAAAGAGUUCGAUGAGCGAGUCUGACGGUCGAGUGGGGCGGGCUGGAGCAAUGAGGCCGCAGGUCCCGGUGGCCGGUGGUGAUGGAGUCACUUAGAAGAUGAGAGGUUGGUGGUUUUGGAGACAAGUGUCCUGGACUGGUUGAGAAGGGAUUAAAAACCAGCAGCCUUCACCACCAU